UACGGAGGGGGCGAGCGUUAUUCGGAAUUAUUGGGCGUAAAGGGCUCGUAGGCGGCCAACUAAGUCAGACGUGAAAUCCCUCAGCUUAACUGGGGAACUGCGUCUGAUACUGGAUGGCUUGGAUUCGGGAGAGGAAUGCGGAAUUCCAGGUGUAGCGGUGAAAUGCGUAGAUAUCUGGAGGAACACCGGUGGCGAAGGCGGCAUUCUGGACCGACAUUGACGCUGAGGAGCGAAAGCCAGGGGAGCAAACGGG
RNAcentral lists this ribosomal RNA (253 nucleotides) under uncultured bacterium. RNAcentral's name for it is "partial 16S ribosomal RNA". It matches the Rfam family "Bacterial small subunit ribosomal RNA", at positions 524 to 776 of the family's 1533-position model. The record is from RNAcentral.